Molecule: ribosomal RNA, 521 nt
Filed under: uncultured Anaplasma sp.
Lineage: Bacteria; Pseudomonadati; Pseudomonadota; Alphaproteobacteria; Rickettsiales; Anaplasmataceae
Description: bacterial SSU rRNA
Rfam family: Bacterial small subunit ribosomal RNA
Source: RNAcentral
CUAUAGCUUGCUAUAAAAAUAAUUAGUGGCAGACGGGUGAGUAAUGCAUAGGAAUCUACCUAGUAGUAUGGGAUAGCCUCUAGAAAUGGUGGGUAAUACUGUAUAAUCCCUGCGGGGGGAAGAUUUAUCGCUACUAGAUGAGCCUAUGUUAGAUUAGCUAGUUGGUGGGGUAAAGGCCUACCAAGGCUGUGAUCUAUAGCUGGUCUGAGAGGAUGAUCAGCCACACUGGAACUGAGAUACGGUCCAGACUCCUACGGGAGGCAGCAGUGGGGAAUAUUGGACAAUGGGCGCAAGCCUGAUCCAGCUAUGCCGCGUGAGUGAGGAAGGCCUUAGGGUUGUAAAACUCUUUCAGUGGGGAAGAUAAUGACGGUACCCGCAUAAGAAGUCCCGGCGAACUCCGUGCCAGCGAGCCGCGGUAAUACGGAGGGGGGGAGCGUUGUUCGGAAUUAUUGGGCGUAAAGGGCAUGUAGGCGGUUCGGUAAGUUAAAGGUGAAAUGCCAGGGCUUAACCCUGGAGCUGUA